RNAcentral lists this long non-coding RNA (621 nucleotides) under Chinchilla lanigera (long-tailed chinchilla). RNAcentral's name for it is "lncRNA (ENSCLAG00000028222.1)". The record is from RNAcentral. Lineage: Eukaryota; Metazoa; Chordata; Mammalia; Rodentia; Chinchillidae.
UUUCCAACUUCUGGCCUCUGUACCAACAGACACUCUGCUGUUGGAGCCAGCCGGUCAGUGGUAGUGUGUGCGGCACCCGCAGGGAGCGAGCACAGCUGGCGGACGCAGCGGGCCCGGGCUCCUCCACCCCGUGCGGGGCAUGCGGCUGUCACCUCUGAUGCACCAGCAGUGCGUCCAUUGUCGAGACGUCUGCUCAGGCCCAGUGGGCUCUGCUCAGCAGCUGGCCUCCUCCAGCUCCCUGGCUGUCCAGCUAGGGCUCACCCCAAGCUCACUGAUAUCAAGAGAAGAGGGACAUUCAGCUAUACCCAGAAUCUCCAUCGCCUAAACCUGUGGUCCCUUUGGAUUCCAGCAGAGCCUCCUCUGACUGAAGUUGUCUCUCAGGUCAUGAAGAGUCACCUCAUGGGAACCAAACUGCCCCUCAUGUGGAGAGGAGUCCUCCGGAGCUGUGAACCCAGACUGAGUUAAAGAAGUCUCGGCACACCAGAUGUAGGGGUGCAUGUCUGCAGCGCCAGCUUCUCAGGGGGUUGAGGCAGGAGAAUUGCAAGUUUGAGACCUGCCUGGGCAAUUCAGCAAGACUCUGUCUCCAAAAACUAAACCAAACCAAACCAGGAUGGAGUUCAG